This is a non-coding RNA of Brettanomyces nanus, 73 nucleotides long. Lineage: Eukaryota; Fungi; Ascomycota; Pichiomycetes; Pichiales; Pichiaceae. The record is from the annotation of a RefSeq genome assembly.
GCGAAUUUAAGUCAAAUGGUUAGACAAUCUGUCUUCCACACAGAAGGUAUGGGUUCAAGUCCCAUAAUUCGUA